Molecule: non-coding RNA, 31 nt
Filed under: Rattus norvegicus (Norway rat)
Lineage: Eukaryota; Metazoa; Chordata; Mammalia; Rodentia; Muridae
Source: RNAcentral
AUUGGUCUACAGUUUUACAGGUUGUCUAUGA